Lactuca sativa (garden lettuce) is the source of this 1770-nucleotide non-coding RNA. The record is from RefSeq and is a predicted model, not a curated record. Lineage: Eukaryota; Viridiplantae; Streptophyta; Magnoliopsida; Asterales; Asteraceae.
UAUCACCUCAUAGUCAAUUAUUCAUCUUCGAUCGCCCUUUUUUCCAUCAAUGAGAAAUGCUAAAAACACAGAUGAUUCACCAUCUCUACCGUUGUUUCACCUAUACCUUACGAUAACCAUUUUCAAAUUUGUACAAAACAAUUGAUUCUCUCAUGUUCUACCACAUCUCUGCUUCGCCUCCUUCCUGCUUUCGGUCGUUGAUGACCGAAAAAUCAGGUAUGUGACCACAACUUUGUCCACUGAUGCCUAAUUGAGUUCUCAAUGAAACAUCUCAGUGUCUCCUAUUCCUCUAUCUCUUCCGCUCGAUUACUUGCUCUUAUUAACUUUCUCGUCGUUAGUUUCAAUCUUAUUAUAGACUUAGGGUUCCACCUCUACACCACAAUCAAGUACUAUUUACAAAUCUCGAAUGGUCAAAAUUAAACCUAAAUCUCCCAUAGGAUCCAGGAAACUUCCAAGUUCGCUCAACACUAUACAUGUUUGUGUUCUUCAUUAGUUAAAUAUUUCUUAAUGAAGGUUUGGAGUUAAAGGUCAAGAAGAAUUUGAUUUUGAUUUUACGUUUUAUCUUUUCAUAGUUUUUUUUAUCUUUUGAUUUUGGCUGUUUUUUUUUUCAGUUUUAGAUUGUUCAUUUGAUCCAAAACAAGAAAUAGUCUUGGUUUAUAAAAUAACACUUACUCCGUUUAAUAGAAAAAUUCAUAGAUUUUUACAAAAUUACCUUUAUGUGUCGAUGAUUACAUCCAUGGAGUUGGAAACGAAUUACCCUAAGGAGUUGUGGUUACAACUCCUGAAAUAGCACAAGUAAUGUCUCAAAAAAUAAAAUUCAACACUUUUGGAGGGAACCAUGUGUGUUCAGCUGGAAGACUUGCAAUGCUUAGAGUCCUUGACAAAGCAAAUCUCCAAAAACAUUGUGCUGAUGUGGGCUCUCAUUUGUUUGGGAGAUUGAAAGAUCUUCAACAAAACAUGAUUUUUAAUGAUUGGAGAUGUGAGAGGGAGAGGAUUGAUGGUGUGAAUUGAACUUGUGACUAUUCUGAAAGAGAAGACACCGGCAAUGGGUGAAACUGCCAUUUUGUUUAAAAACUAUGAGGUAUAUUAUGUAUGCAUGAAAACUUCGAAUUACCCAUUUUGACUUGGAUAUAACUAUUUUUAUGUUCAUUGUGAAUGAAGAGCAUGGGGUUCUGGUUGGAAAAGGUGGAUUACAUGGGGAUGUUUUCACAAUAAAACCAUCUAUGUGAUGUGGAAAGAGUCUUUUUCCCAUGUACAUGUUGCUGGCAAGAGUUGUCCCUACUACAAAUGUUAAGACACGGUGUACAACUGUUUAUCGCUUCAGUCGAGCAUGUAAAUUGAUAGCUUUUGGUGGGGACGACACCACAAGUUCAACAAAAUUUAUUCUCCAUGAGACGAAUAAACUAUAAACAACGGCUAAAUUUGGCUCUCUUGUUGUUUUGUAGCUGAUACGACAAAUCUUCAAGGGAUUGAUCUAACAUAGGACCACAUGUUUUCCGCCUCAUGUAAGUGAAUCGUGUGGGUUAUUGCUUAUUUGGGAAGAUUCCAAUGGAUUUGCUUCAAUCUUCAUGGGAAAAAUCUUGAACAUUAUGUUUAGGGGGAAGAGGUGGGAUGAUGUCAACUGUUAUUAAGUAGUUUUGGUUUAUGAAUGUAUGUUUGAUGUUAUAUAUAAACAAUAUGUAUCAAGUAAAGUUAGAGAAGAGUGAUGUCAGUGAAAAUCCAUGAACAUUAUAUGCGUUACUUUUGUAAAAAACAUAUGCUACUCAAAGA